GACAGAGGGUGCAAACGUUGCUCGGAAUUACUGGGCGUAAAGGGCGUGUAGGCGGUCAGGUUAGUGAGAUGUGAAACGCCCCGGCUCACCCGGGGACCUGCAUCUCAAACUGCCUGGCUUGAGUAUGGGAGAGGAUGAGGGAAUUCCUGGUGUAGCGGUGAAAUGCGCAGAUAUCAGGAGGAACACCGGUGGCGAAGGCGGGUCUCUGGGCCGAUACUGACGCUGAGGAGCGAAAGCGUGGGGAGCGAACAGG
RNAcentral lists this ribosomal RNA (253 nucleotides) under uncultured bacterium. RNAcentral describes it as "partial 16S ribosomal RNA". It matches the Rfam family "Bacterial small subunit ribosomal RNA", at positions 524 to 776 of the family's 1533-position model. The record is from RNAcentral.